UUUCCGUAGGUGAACCUGCGGAAGGAUCAUUAACGAGUUAGGGUCUUCCAGGCCCGACCUCCCAACCCUAUGUUUAUUGAACCUCUGUUGCUUCGGCGGACCCGCCUCACGGCCGCCGGAGGACCGCUGCUAGGCGUCCUCUGGCCAGCGUCCGCCGAUGGCCAACCACUUAAACUCUGAAUGAAUCGUGUCAUAUGUCUAAGUCUAUGAUUAAAUUAAAGCAAAACUUUCAACAACGGAUCUCUUGGUUCUG
Molecule: unclassified non-coding RNA, 253 nt
Filed under: plant metagenome
Description: partial contains small subunit ribosomal RNA, internal transcribed spacer 1, and 5.8S ribosomal RNA
Source: RNAcentral